This 353-nucleotide ribosomal RNA is filed under the name Monastria sp. FL-2014. Its description in RNAcentral is "partial 12S ribosomal RNA". Lineage: Eukaryota; Metazoa; Arthropoda; Insecta; Blattodea; Blaberidae. The record is from RNAcentral.
UUUAAAUGUAAAUURUAAGGCUUGAGUAGUAAUAGUUAUGGUCUUGAAACUUAAAGAAUUUGGCGGUAUUUUAGUCUUUUUAGAGGAAUCUGUUCCGUAAUCGAUAGUCCGCGUUGGAACUUACUUAGUUGGUAAAGUAUGUAUAUCGCCGUUUAUUGAAGAUUUUUUUAGAAGAUAUUUUCUGAUUAUAUUACUUUAUAAAAUUUCAGGUCAAGGUGCAGCUUGURAUUAAGGGGAAAUGGAUUACAAUAUUUUAAAGUAAAAUGGAUUARUAAAUUGAAAYAUUUAUAUGAAGGUGGAUUUAAUAGUAAUUUUUWAAAGAUUAUAUAAAUGAUUUUGGCUCUAAAAUGUGY